This 928-nucleotide long non-coding RNA is filed under the name Fragaria vesca (wild strawberry). RNAcentral describes it as "long non-coding RNA (FVES_LNC005499)". The record is from RNAcentral. Lineage: Eukaryota; Viridiplantae; Streptophyta; Magnoliopsida; Rosales; Rosaceae.
ACCACUACCCAAAGAAACUGCAUGUAUAUCUUCAUCUUCGCAUCUUCCUCUUCUUUACGUCUCCAACUGCUCGCCUCCUCUAAAACAAAAACUGCUCUCAUAUAUCUGGCUCUUCACUGCUAAUUGCUUCGUCUCAAUUAAAAUUUUCUUCCACACCCUCAUCGUUUUACUUAUAUUCGUUUUUGUUUGUGUUACAAAACAGAUCUGAUUCAUUGCAGCAGGCUGCUUGACGUCGAGUUCGGUACAUCCUGCCUUCCCUCUCUUAAUUGUCUGCCUUUCUCUUAUUUUCUUAGAUAUUGAACAUAUACGUUCCUCAGUUCACGAGCACUUUUGGCAAAACUUGCUUUGGUUUCAAUUGGUGGUUGUGCAGCAUUUUGAGAUCGAUUCAAUGGUUGGUACACUAAUUAACUGAUUUAAGAAGUUGCGUAUAUAUGAAAAGAGUGCUUUGAGAUGCAAAAUCCUUUAUUGAAGAACAAUCUGUUGGUAAGCAAUUUGAUUAUUAAGAUUUGAUUAUUAGUGUUCUGUGUUAAGGAAAUACAAAAAGUUAUAUUUAGUUUACUAAAUGCUUGAUAGAUGACGAUUUUGACAAGAAUGACAAAUUUUAGGAAAUCUGUUUUCAUUUAGUUUAUCAAUUUGUUAUUUUUCCUUAUCAAUCGGUUCUAAUCUUACCUCCUUUGUGAAUGGUUUGUUGUUGGUGUUUAUCGCAGGUGUUAGUUCAAAGAGAAAACUGUAAAGGGGAAAAGAAAGACAUAUAUAUGGAGUAUUGUGAAGGGGAAAAAUAAAGACCAUUUGGCGCCCAUAGCAUUUUUAGUAUCUUCAAUCUUGAUUCUUCAUGAAUUCAUGUUCUUUUUAUGCAUGCAAGGCAUUUCGAAAGGACUUCAGUAUGUUAAAUAUCUAUAUAUUCUCACCUACCUAAUCUAAUUUGCAG